RNAcentral lists this long non-coding RNA (917 nucleotides) under Helianthus annuus (common sunflower). Its description in RNAcentral is "hypothetical non coding rna". The record is from RNAcentral. Lineage: Eukaryota; Viridiplantae; Streptophyta; Magnoliopsida; Asterales; Asteraceae.
UUUUUAUUUAUUUUUUUUUUGCAAAUUAAUAUAUUAAAAUUAAAAUUUACUAAAAAACACAAACGUAUAUAAUAAAAUUUCUUUUUUAUAUUCUAGACAAGACUUCUGUAUUCAGCAAUGUGUAUUCAAAGUUUAUUCUAAUAUGAUGUGUUGUUGCCUUGGGCCUCUUCUUUAGACUCAUGGAAGCGUUCCAAACACACUAGUAGCAAGUUGUGAUGUAGUGAAGCCAAAAGUUGUUGCAGCUGAACACAUAUCUCAGAUCAACGAGGAAGCACACUCUUCGUUUGUAAAGAAGUAGAAAACUAUAAUGUGAUGGCAGUUGUAACAUCAAAUAUUUGAGGUCCGUAUUAUUUUUGGUUAAUUCGUAUUAAGAUCAGAUCUUUAAUUGCGUGGCAGUUGUAACAUCAAAUAUUUGAGGUGCUUAUAGGACAUGCUGACAAUGCAGAAUUCGCUCUUAUAAUCUGCCCAACUGAACCUUAUGUACUCUUUGGAGGGAGCUGAAUUUGAAGCCAAAUUCGGGAAGCUUGUUGAACUCAGGUUCAGCAGAGAUGCAGUUAUACAAGCUCUGAAGCUUUUUGAUGGUUGAUCCAAAAUUUGAUUUGGAUAUUAAUUAAGAUGAUGCGGAAGACGAGUGUUCCAACUAUAGAUGGGUCAAGCAUAUAUAUGUUGACAAGUAUGUGUUCAAGCCCUUUAUCUCAGUCUAAUAGGAUGAACAUCUGUUAGAUGUGCAAAUUACCAUAACAUGGGAUCUACAAGUAGCAUGAAUAAAACACUUGGGAAGAUUAUACAACAUCAGAACUGGUCACCAGUUACAAGUUUACUCCCCACCAGAAGAGCGGUAAUGUGGCUACGAACCCAUGGAUGCAAAUUUGCAGCACUUUUAGGUCUAAAAUAGUGAGUAUAUGGACUUGAAGAAA